RNAcentral lists this ribosomal RNA (425 nucleotides) under uncultured bacterium. RNAcentral's name for it is "bacterial SSU rRNA". It matches the Rfam family "Bacterial small subunit ribosomal RNA", at positions 356 to 773 of the family's 1533-position model. The record is from RNAcentral.
GGGGAAUUUUGGACAAUGGGGGCAACCCUGAUCCAGCCAUCCCGCGUGUGCGAUGAAGGCCUUCGGGUUGUAAAGCACUUUUGGCAGGGAAGAAAAGGCGCUGGUUAAUACCUGGCGCCGCUGACGGUACCUGCAGAAUAAGCACCGGCUAACUACGUGCCAGCAGCCGCGGUAAUACGUAGGGUGCAAGCGUUAAUCGGAAUUACUGGGCGUAAAGCGAGCGCAGGCGGUUCGGCAAGAAGGAUGUGAAAGCCCGGGGCUUAACCUCGGAACUGCAUUCUUAACUGCCGGGCUAGAGUAUGUCAGAGGGGGGUAGAAUUCCACGUGUAGCAGUGAAAUGCGUAGAGAUGUGGAGGAAUACCGAUGGCGAAGGCAGCCCCCUGGGAUAAUACUGACGCUCAUGCACGAAAGCGUGGGGAGCAAAC